RNAcentral lists this ribosomal RNA (447 nucleotides) under uncultured bacterium. RNAcentral describes it as "bacterial SSU rRNA". It matches the Rfam family "Bacterial small subunit ribosomal RNA", at positions 355 to 825 of the family's 1533-position model. The record is from RNAcentral.
UCGGGAAUUUUGGGCAAUGGGGGAAACCCUGACCCAGCAACGCCGCGUGAAGGAUGAAGUAUUUCGGUAUGUAAACUUCGAAAGAAUAGGAAGAAUAAAUGACGGUACUAUUUGUAAGGUCCGGCUAACUACGUGCCAGCAGCCGCGGUAAUACGUAGGGACCAAGCGUUGUUCGGAUUUACUGGGCGUAAAGGGCGCGUAGGCGGUGUGUCAAGUCAGUUGUGAAAUCUCCGAGCUUAACUCGGAACGGUCAACUGAUACUGUCACACUAGAGUACAGAAGGGGCAAUCGGAAUUCUUGGUGUAGCGGUGAAAUGCGUAGAUAUCAAGAGGAACACCUGAGGCGAAGGCGGGUUGCUGGGCUGAUACUGACGCUGAGGCGCGAAAGCUAGGGUAGCAAACGGGAUUAGAUACCCAAGUAGUCCCUGAGCGGGCUGGCAAGGCGCAU